GCUGUAACUCAGUGGUAGAGCACUUGCCUCACAAGUGUGAGGCACUGGGUUCAAUCCUCAGCAUGAA
This 67-nucleotide transfer RNA is filed under the name Marmota monax (woodchuck). Its description in RNAcentral is "tRNA.Val". The record is from RNAcentral. Lineage: Eukaryota; Metazoa; Chordata; Mammalia; Rodentia; Sciuridae.